GCUAUCGUACCCGCUGAUCAACCA
This 24-nucleotide non-coding RNA is filed under the name Arabidopsis thaliana (thale cress). The record is from RNAcentral. Lineage: Eukaryota; Viridiplantae; Streptophyta; Magnoliopsida; Brassicales; Brassicaceae.